CUUCUUUAUCAUUCACUUCUAAACUUUCUAAUUUAACAAAGACUAUCACUCCCUACUACUAUCAACUUUCAAACACUUCAUUAUAGAGAUGGUUUCUUCAAAUGAUUUCAACAUGUUAAUUCUAAUUCCUCUUCUUGUUAGCUCCCUAAUGGUAAUGAAUGCCUUUGCUGCUGGUAACUUGAACCAACACUUUGAUAUAACAUGGGGAGAUGGCCGAGCGAAGAUACUAAACAAUGGUGAGUUACUCACUCUAUCACUUGACAAAGCAUCUGGUUCAGGAUUCCAAUCAAAGAAUGAGUAUCUCUUUUGGGAAGAUUGAUAUGCAACUCAAACUUGUCCCUGGAAACUCUGCUGGCACUGUCACUGCAUAUUACCUAUCUUCAAAAGGACCAACUUGGGAUGAGAUAGACUAUGAAUUUCUAGGAAAUGUAAGUGGUGAACCAUACAUCCUUCACACUAAUGUUUUCAGUCAAGGCAAAGGAAACAGGGAACAACAAUUCUAUCUAUGGUUUGACCCAGCAGCUGAUUUUCACACUUAUUCUAUCAUAUGGAACCCCCAGAGGAUUAUAUUCUCAGUUGAUGGCACUCCCAUUAGAGAGUUCAAGAACUCAGAGACUAUUGGUGUGCCCUUCCCAAAGAACCAACCAAUGAGAAUAUAUUCAAGUUUGUGGAAUGCAGAUAACUGGGCAACAAGAGGUGGACUAGUCAAGACAGAUUGGACAAAGGCUCCAUUCACAGCUUCCUACAGAAAUUUUAAUGCUCAGGCUUGCAUCUGGUCUUCAGGAGCAUCAUCCUGUGGUUCAACUAGUUCUGCAUCAAAGGACUCUGCCAGAGGUUCAUGGCUUUCACAGGAGUUGGAUGCUACUGGUCAAGGGAGGUUGAAAUGGGUGCAGAAGAAUUACAUGAUAUACAAUUACUGCAAAGAUACAAAACGAUUUCCACAGGGUUUACCUCCAGAGUGCAACCACUCGUAAAGAGAAAACUGUGCAACCCCUCUGUAAUAUUUCCCCAUUAUCACUGCAAUUCUAGCAUUAGUUUGUAGCUUAGUAUGAUUCUUUCAUUCGUUUUGAUCUCUGUCAUCACGCUAGGAAACAUUUGUAGCCAUUCAUCAAAUGUGUAACAUCUUUUUUAUAAUAAAAACAGGUUCUUUUCUUACUACCA
This is an RNA transcript of Medicago truncatula (barrel medic), 1161 nucleotides long. It is a transcript of the gene named xyloglucan endotransglucosylase/hydrolase protein 22-like, with no coding region annotated. Lineage: Eukaryota; Viridiplantae; Streptophyta; Magnoliopsida; Fabales; Fabaceae. The record is from RefSeq and is a predicted model, not a curated record. The transcript is spliced from 3 exons.